CCAUGCAAGUCGAACGAGAAUCUACUGAAAGAGUUUUCGGACGAUGGAAGUAGAGGAAAGUGGCGGACGGGUGAGUAACGCGUGAGGAACCUGCCUUGAAGAGGGGGACAACAGUUGGAAACGACUGCUAAUACCGCAUGAAGCAUAGGGGUCGCAUGAUUCUUAUGCCAAAGAUUUAUCGCUUCAAGAUGGCCUCGCGUCUGAUUAGCUAGUUGGCGGGGUGACGGCCCACCAAGGCGACGAUCAGUAGCCGGACUGAGAGGUUGAACGGCCACAUUGGGACUGAGAUACGGCCCAGACUCCUACGGGAGGCAGCAGUGGGGAAUAUUGGGCAAUGGGCGCAAGCCUGACCCAGCAACGCCGCGUGAGGGAAGAAGGCUUUCGGGUUGUAAACUUCUUCUAAGAGGGAAGAGCAGAAGACGGUACCUCUAGAAUAAGCCACGGCUAACUACGUGCCAGCAGCCGCGGUAAUACGUAGGUGGCAAGCGUUGUCCGGAUUUACUGGGUGUAAAGGGCGUGCAGCCGGGUCUGCAAGUCAGAUGUGAAAUCCAUGGGCUCAACCCAUGAACUGCAUUUGAAACUGUAGAUCUUGAGUGU
Molecule: ribosomal RNA, 597 nt
Filed under: uncultured bacterium
Lineage: Bacteria
Description: bacterial SSU rRNA
Rfam family: Bacterial small subunit ribosomal RNA
Source: RNAcentral